Molecule: long non-coding RNA, 530 nt
Filed under: Mus spicilegus (steppe mouse)
Lineage: Eukaryota; Metazoa; Chordata; Mammalia; Rodentia; Muridae
Description: lncRNA (ENSMSIG00000030259.1)
Source: RNAcentral
AUGUAGUUAUUUCAUGGAAAAAUUCAUCUUGCUGUUUUCUCUUGGGUCUUCAGGUGGUGUAUAAUAAAUUAAAUAUUCUCAUAAACUUUGUUGACAUAAAGGGGAAGUUUCUGACUCCAAAAGGCAAACUAAGAAAAUGAAGGUGAACAGCGUCGUUCCUGUGUUCUCAAAGGAGGGGCCUCCUGGGGCUGUUUAUUGCUAAUGGGUGAGCAGAGCCAUAUUUCAGGCUGGUCACUGCUGUCCAUCUACUACCAAGACCAUCUUUAAGCUGGCUCUGCCCUCUCCUUCAAGGCCAUGGCAAGCCAAACUCAUACGAGGACUUUUCCUGAUGUGAAAACUUGCCAAUUGCAGAUUGUCAACGGCAUUUGUGAGACGAACCUCAUGUUGCACAGGAAAGAACCUUAUAUCCAGAGCCAGAGCACAUUAGUUAUUUUUCAUGUCAUUCAAGAUUAAGUUCAAGGAGGAGAGAUUUACUUCAGCUCAGAUUUUCACAGUAUGGAAAGUAUGGCGGAACUCAUGGCAGCAGGUAU